RNAcentral lists this ribosomal RNA (468 nucleotides) under uncultured bacterium. Its description in RNAcentral is "partial 16S ribosomal RNA". It matches the Rfam family "Bacterial small subunit ribosomal RNA", at positions 28 to 507 of the family's 1533-position model. The record is from RNAcentral.
GACGAACGCUGGCGGCGUGCUUAACACAUGCAAGUCGAACGGAAAGGCCCUGCUUUUGUGGGGUGCUCGAGUGGCGAACGGGUGAGUAACACGUGAGUAACCUGCCCUUGACUUUGGGAUAACUUCAGGAAACUGGGGCUAAUACCGGAUAGGAGCUCCUGCUGCAUGGUGGGGGUUGGAAAGUUUCGGCGGUUGGGGAUGGACUCGCGGCUUAUCAGCUUGUUGGUGGGGUAGUGGCUUACCAAGGCUUUGACGGGUAGCCGGCCUGAGAGGGUGGCCGGCCACAUUGGGACUGAGAUACGGCCCAGUCUCCUACGGGAGGCAGCAGUGGGGAAUAUUGCACAAUGGGCGGAAGCCUGAUGCAGCAACGCCGCGUGCGGGAUGACGGCCUUCGGGUUGUAAACCGCUUUCGCCUGUGACGAAGCGUGAGUGACGGUAAUGGGUAAAGAAGCACCGGCUAACUACGUG